AUGGGCUGUUUUGAAAUAUAUAAGCAUUUUCAGUUUAGAGCUUCUGGAGAAGAGUCUCCAUGCCGGCUCGCGGUGUGGCAGAGAGCUUCCAGAGCAACGGCCUUGAACAUGACGAUUCCGGAACUGGCGGCCAUGUCGACCUCUUCAUCCCCGACCCUUGCCCAAUCGAAGCACUGGAUGAGCGUGCCAAGAACCAUACCCAUGGUCCUCAUGGCGAGGCUCUCCCCGGGGCACUUGCGCCUUCCCAUCCCGAAGGACAUCAUGAGCUUCCCAUCGGCGCUGCCAUGCUCGAACCUCUCCGGCCUGAACUCCUCGGGCGCCGGUCCGCACUCAGCCGGGUCGCGGUGGAUGGCGUACGCGUUGACGAGCACUAUGGUGCCCGCGGCGACGUCGUACCCGUGGAGCUGGCAGUCGGCGGCGGCCUCGUGUGGUAGCAGCAGCGGCGCGGCCGGGCACAGCCGCAGCGUCUCGCUGAUGAUGCAGUGGAGGUAA
Molecule: ribosomal RNA, 492 nt
Filed under: Triticum aestivum (bread wheat)
Lineage: Eukaryota; Viridiplantae; Streptophyta; Magnoliopsida; Poales; Poaceae
Description: partial small subunit ribosomal RNA
Source: RNAcentral